Paramuricea clavata is the source of this 250-nucleotide non-coding RNA. The record is from the annotation of a GenBank genome assembly. NCBI's taxonomy places the organism in Eukaryota, Metazoa, Cnidaria, Anthozoa, Malacalcyonacea, Plexauridae.
AGGCCGUACAGCACACUGCUCACUGGUCACUGGGACGAAGGAUAAACCGAAAAUUCACUUCUCUCCAUGACAAGCUUUUAUAAUGUUCGGUCGAUCCGCUACAUUGAAAGAUGAGUACUUGGCUAUUUUUUGGCAGGGGUAACGAAGUAUAUCGGCUGUUCUCUAAGUGUUUCUUAAUGCGUUGGCCAUCGGAAUAUAAUAUAACUACAUAACUCAUAAGCUUGAUAGAUAUGUGACGAGUUUCACAGGC